RNAcentral lists this ribosomal RNA (867 nucleotides) under marine sediment metagenome. RNAcentral's name for it is "LSU rRNA". It matches the Rfam family "Bacterial large subunit ribosomal RNA", at positions 2062 to 2925 of the family's 2925-position model. The record is from RNAcentral.
CGGGUUACCCGCGACAGGACAAAAAGACCCCGUGGAGCUUUACUAUAGCUUGGCACUGAGUCUGGGCUUAUCAUGUGUAGCAUAGGUGGGAGGCUGAGAAGCUGGGGCGCUAGCCUCAGUGGAGCCAUCAUUGAAAUACCACUCUUGGUAAGUUUAGGCCCUAACCCUAGAGCAAGCUAGGGGACAGUGUCUGGUGGGUAGUUUGACUGGGGCGGUCGCCUCCUAAAAGGUAACGGAGGCGCCCAAAGGUCCCCUCAGGGUGGAUGGAAAUCACCCAUAGAGUGCAUUGGCAUAAGGGGGCUUGACUGUGAGACCUACAAGUCGAGCAGACAGGAAACUGGGGCAAAGUGAUCCCACGGUUCCGAGUGGAAGGGCCGUGGCUUAACGGAUAAAAGCUACCCCGGGGAUAACAGGCUUAUCUUGCCCAAGAGUUCACAUCGACGGCAAGGUUUGGCACCUCGAUGUCGGCUCGUCGCAUCCUGGGGCUGAAGCAGGUCCCAAGGGUCGGGCUGUUCGCCCGUUAAAGCGGUACGCGAGCUGGGUUCAGACCGUCGUGAGACAGGUCGGUCUCUAUCCGUCGUGGGCGUCCGGAGAUUUGAGGGGAGCUCUCUUCAGUACGAGAGGACCGAGAGGGACAGACCUCUGGUGUGCCAGUUGUUCCGCCGGGGCAUUGCUGGGUAGCUAAGUCUGGUUCGGAUAAGCGCUGAAAGCAUCUAAGUGCGAAGCCGGCCCCAAGAUGAUAUCUCCCAUCUCGGUGAUUUAUCACCGAGGGUAAGACCACAAGUAGACUACUUGUUUGAUAGGCGGUGGGUGAAAGCGUGGUAACAUGUUUAGCUUAACCGUACUAAUGGUCGAGGGCUUGACCUG